RNAcentral lists this small nucleolar RNA (121 nucleotides) under Castor canadensis (American beaver). Its description in RNAcentral is "Small nucleolar RNA SNORA32 (ENSCCNG00000031010.1)". It matches the Rfam family "Small nucleolar RNA SNORA32". Rfam says of the family: ACA32 is a member of the H/ACA class of snoRNA that guide the sites of modification of uridines to pseudouridines. The record is from Rfam by way of RNAcentral. Lineage: Eukaryota; Metazoa; Chordata; Mammalia; Rodentia; Castoridae.
UGCUCAUUACCAAGGCUUUAAGAAUGCAUUCUCUCAUUUGCUGUGGACAUGACCAUAAAAAAGCUUCCCACUAGGUUUUCUAUAUGCUACCUUGAUAGCAAUCAACCUAUUGAGAGCAAUG